This 460-nucleotide ribosomal RNA is filed under the name uncultured bacterium. Its description in RNAcentral is "partial 16S ribosomal RNA". It matches the Rfam family "Bacterial small subunit ribosomal RNA", at positions 338 to 795 of the family's 1533-position model. The record is from RNAcentral.
CCUACGGGUGGCAGCAGUGAGGAAUAUUGGUCAAUGGACGAGAGUCUGAACCAGCCAAGUAGCGUGAAGGAUGACUGCCCUAUGGGUUGUAAACUUCUUUUAUAUGGGAAUAAAAUGUUCCACGUGUGGGAUUUUGUAUGUACCAUAUGAAUAAGGAUCGGCUAACUCCGUGCCAGCAGCCGCGGUAAUACGGAGGAUCCGAGCGUUAUCCGGAUUUAUUGGGUUUAAAGGGAGCGUAGGUGGAUUGUUAAGUCAGUUGUGAAAGUUUGCGGCUCAACCGUAAAAUUGCAGUUGAAACUGGCAGUCUUGAGUACAGUAGAGGUGGGCGGAAUUCGUUGUGUAGCGGUGAAAUGCUUAGAUAUCACGAAGAACUCCGAUUGCGAAGGCAGUUCACUGGACUGCAACUGACACUGAGGCUCGAAAGUGUGGGUAUCAAACAGGAUUAGAUACCCUUGUAGUC